AAAGGGAGCACGCUGAGAUCCUGUGUCCUCAUACUGAAAUAAUGGGAUUCAUUUUCCUCUCAGUGGGCUAGAAGGAGGCCGCUCCACCCCUACAGCUUUCCAGAAACAGGGAAGCAGAGGGAGGGAACAAGAGACACAGGGGGAGAGAGAGAAAGAUAAAGGUGGGGAAAGAGAGACACCCAGGGGGAGAGAGAGGAAGACAGAGGUGGGGAAAGAGAGAUACACAGGGGGAGAGAGAGGAAGACAGAGGUGGGGGAAGAGAGACACACAGGGGGAGAGAGAGGAAGACAGAGGUGGGGAAAGAGAGAUACACAGGGGGAGAGAGAGGAAGACAGAGGUGGGGAAAGAGAGAUACACAGGGGGAGAGAGAGGAAGACAGAGGUGGGGAAAGAGAGACACACAGGGGGAGAGAGAGGAAGACAGAGGUGGGGAAAGAGAGAUACACAGGGGUAGAGAGAGGAAGACAGAGGUGGGGAAAGAGAGACACACAGGGGGAGAGAGAGGAAGACAGAGGUGGGGAAAGAGAGAUACACAGGGGGAGAGAGAGGAAGACAGAGGUGGGGGAAGAGAGACACACAGGGGGAGAGAGAGGAAGACAGAGGUGGGGAAAGAGAGAUACACAGGGGGAGAGAGAGGAAGACAGAGGUGGGGAAAGAGAGAUACACAGGGGGAGAGAGAGGAAGACAGAGGUGGGGAAAGAGAGAUACACAGGGGGAGAGAGAGGAAGACA
This is a long non-coding RNA of Oncorhynchus keta (chum salmon), 730 nucleotides long. RefSeq lists it as uncharacterized. Lineage: Eukaryota; Metazoa; Chordata; Actinopteri; Salmoniformes; Salmonidae. The record is from RefSeq and is a predicted model, not a curated record. The transcript is spliced from 4 exons.